CGAUUAGCCAUGCUAGUUGCGCGGUUAGACUCCGCGGCGUAAAAGCUCAGUAACACGUGGCCAACCUACCCUGUGGACGGGAAAACUCUCGGGAAAUUGGGCUAAACCCCGAUAUACGUCUUGGUCCUGGAAGGGGCAAAGUCGGAAACGUUCCGGCGCUACAGGAUGCGGCUGCGGUCGAUUAGGUAGAUGGUGGGGUAACGGCCCACCGUGCCUAUAAUCGGUACGGGUUGUGAGAGCAAGAGCCCGGAGACGGAAUCUGAGACAAGAUUCCGGGCCCUACGGGGCGCAGCAGGCGCGAAACCUUUACACUGUACGAAAGUGCGAUAGGGGGACUCCGAGUGUGAGGGCAUAUAGCCUUCGCUUUUGUGCACCGUAAGGUGGUGCACGAAUAAGGACUGGGCAAGACCGGUGCCAGCCGCCGCGGUAAUACCGGCAGUCCAAGUGAUGGCCGAUAUUAUUGGGCCUAAAGCGUCCGUAGCUGGCUGAACAAGUCCGUUGGGAAAUCUGUCCGCUUAACGGGCAGGCGUCCAGGGGAAACUGUUCAGCUUGGGACCGGAAGACUUGAGGGGUACGUCUGGGGUAGGAGUGAAAUCCUGUAUUCCUGGACGGACCCCCGGUGGGGAAACCGCCUCAGGAGACCGGAUCCGACAGUGAGGGACGAAAGCUAGGGUCUCGAACCGGAUUAGAUCCCCGGGUAGUCCUGGCUGUAAACGAUGCUCCGCUAGGUGUGUCGCACGCUACGAGCCUGCGAUGUUCUCGUAGGGAAACACGAAAAAGCGGGACCCGCCUGGGAAGUACGUCUUGCAAGGAUGAAACAUAAAGGGAAUUGGGCGGGGGGAGCAACUAUCAACCGGCAGGAGCGCUGCU
Molecule: ribosomal RNA, 870 nt
Filed under: Halobacterium sp. BAB-2232
Lineage: Archaea; Methanobacteriati; Methanobacteriota; Halobacteria; Halobacteriales; Halobacteriaceae
Description: bacterial SSU rRNA
Rfam family: Archaeal small subunit ribosomal RNA
Source: RNAcentral